GGAAGUAAAAGUCGUAACGAGGUCUCCGUUGGUGAACCAGCGGAGGGAUCAUUACAGAGUUGCAAAACUCCCAAACCAUUGUGAACGUUACCUAUCCCGUUGCUUCGGCGGGCGGCCCGGGCCCCGCGCCCGGCGCCCCCCGGCCCCCCGUGGGCGCCCGCCGGAGGUAAACCAAACCCUCGAAUUGCAUGGCCUCUCUGAGUCUUCUGUACUGAAUAAGUCAAAACUUUCAACAACGGAUCUCUUGGUUCUG
RNAcentral lists this unclassified non-coding RNA (253 nucleotides) under plant metagenome. RNAcentral's name for it is "partial contains small subunit ribosomal RNA, internal transcribed spacer 1, and 5.8S ribosomal RNA". The stretch from base 1 to 54 matches the Rfam family "Eukaryotic small subunit ribosomal RNA", at positions 1778 to 1831 of the family's 1831-position model. The record is from RNAcentral.